RNAcentral lists this ribosomal RNA (456 nucleotides) under uncultured bacterium. RNAcentral describes it as "bacterial SSU rRNA". It matches the Rfam family "Bacterial small subunit ribosomal RNA", at positions 923 to 1379 of the family's 1533-position model. The record is from RNAcentral.
GCACAAGCGGUGGAGCAUGUGGUUUAAUUCGACGCAACGCGAAGAACCUUACCUGGGCUCGAAAUGUAGUGGACCGGGGUAGAAAUAUCCCUUUUCGCAAGAACUGCUAUAUAGGUGCUGCAUGGCUGUCGUCAGCUCGUGUCGUGAGAUGUUGGGUUAAGUCCCGCAACGAGCGCAACCCUUAUCUUUAGUUGCCAUCAGGUCAAGCUGGGCACUCUAACGAAACCGCCUCGGAUAACGGGGAGGAAGGUGGGGAUGACGUCAAGUCCUCAUGGCCUUUAUGUCCAGGGCUACACACGUGCUACAAUGGUCGGUACAAACCGUCGCAAACCCGUGAGGGGGAGCUAAUCGGAAAAAGCCGUCCUCAGUUCGGAUUGGAGUCUGCAACUCGACUCCAUGAAGCUGGAAUCGCUAGUAAUCGCGGAUCAGAACGCCGCGGUGAAUACGUUCCCGGGC